UAAGGGGUGAUGUUUGUAUGUGAUCAGGUCUUUCUUUCAUGAAAAUUUGAGGGAAUAUAUGUAGUAAAUGGCGGCGGGGGGAUCUUUACUUUUACUUACUCUAUGACUGAAGUCUGACUGUAUCGUUGACUGAACCUAGUCAAAUGUAUAUUUAAGGGCGUGUUUGGCUGGUUGGUUAAUCUAUGGGGUUGAGAUAAUGUUUGCAUAAAUAAAAGGGAUGUACUGAUUGAUUUAUUGUGCCUACCUUCUUGUCUACUUUUCGGUUUUGGUUUCUGUCAAAACGGUUUGGUUUUUCAUUUUUUUAGUAAUCAAAUUAACUAGGGGGUCGUUUGGUAUGAAUCGAGCUAUUCGGUGAUAUUUGAAAUAUCUCCGUGUUUCGGAGCACAAAUAGCUAGCUAUUUGGUGAUAUUGAAUAUCAUCAUAUUCUAUAGUAAGGCAUAACAACGUGAGACGUACAGGAAGUCUUAUCGGAGGUGCAGUCCUUACCAACGCGGCUAAUAUGGAUUGUGGGUCUUUGCCAAAACAAAUACCUCAAUCAUUUCUCUCCAAAACGGACAAUCCAAAUGAGAUUCACCCAACAAAUCGAAUAACUAUCAUAAUUUUCAAAACCAAAUGUGGUACUGGGGAGGGACAAAAUAUAAAAAUAAAAACAAAA
Molecule: long non-coding RNA, 655 nt
Filed under: Linum usitatissimum (flax)
Lineage: Eukaryota; Viridiplantae; Streptophyta; Magnoliopsida; Malpighiales; Linaceae
Description: long non-coding RNA (LUSI_LNC006994)
Source: RNAcentral